CCUACGGGUGGCAGCAGUGAGGAAUAUUGGUCAAUGGCCGGAAGGCUGAACCAGCCAAGCCGCGUGAAGGACGAAGGUGCCAAGCAUUGUAAACUUCUUUUGUCAAGGGACAAAAUCAGGCUCGAGAGCCUGACCGAGGGUACUUGAAGAAAAAGCAUCGGCUAACUCCGUGCCAGCAGCCGCGGUAAUACGGAGGAUGCGAGCGUUAUCCGGAUUUAUGGGGUUAAAAGGGUGCGUAGGCGGGCUGUUAAGUCAGCGGUAAAAGCCCGGGGCUCAACCCCGGCGAGCCGUUGAAACUGUCUGUCUUGAGAUGUCGAGAGGUAUGCGGAAUGCGCAGUGUAGCGGUGAAAUGCUUAGAUAUUGCGCAGAACUCCGAUUGCGAAGGCAGCAUACCGGCGGCGAUCUGACGCUGAGGCACGAAAGCGUGGGUAUCGAACAGGAUUAGAUACCCCAGUAGUC
RNAcentral lists this ribosomal RNA (459 nucleotides) under uncultured bacterium. Its description in RNAcentral is "partial 16S ribosomal RNA". It matches the Rfam family "Bacterial small subunit ribosomal RNA", at positions 338 to 795 of the family's 1533-position model. The record is from RNAcentral.